This 846-nucleotide small RNA is filed under the name Drosophila pseudoobscura pseudoobscura. RNAcentral describes it as "GA30801". Lineage: Eukaryota; Metazoa; Arthropoda; Insecta; Diptera; Drosophilidae. The record is from RNAcentral.
GUCGACUUGGGCUUCUUGUCUGCUGUCGCCGUCGCUGCCACCACCGUCGUCGUCGUCGUCGUCGCUGUCUUGGCCCGAACGAACCGGCCUACGCUGCCUUUGGCUUGGACACACACGUUCUCGGCCCAGCAAUCGCCGCUGUUGCACGUCGUUCCACCUUGCUGUACAUUUUGCCGUCGCGACCAUCACUACGACUCCGAAUACGACACCCAGAGAUCUAGAUCCAGAGAUCCAGAUCCACGCCGCGUGCACGUGUGAUUCGCCUUCGCACCCCCCACCCAAAACGAAUCGGAUUGUUAUUGAUCAGAUGAGAUAUACAUAAAUAUAGGCCCAUAUCUAGACUCCAAAUCGGACCACGAAUCUGUCAAGACUUUUCGUUUUGUUUUGUUUUUUUUCGGUGGUUAGAAAAACCACACAAUAAACCGACUGCACCUUUAGCUACGAAAAAUUACCAAGUGCUCCCAAAUACAACGCCAAGUGUCCGUGCCCGUGCCCGUGCCCGUGCCCGUGCUCCCAAGUGAAACUACAGUACGCGUAUCUCCAACAGGAAGAUACACAUGUGUAUACGCUGCACUGGAGAUACAUAUCUCUCUGCACAAGAGACCAGAUAAAGCAAGUUUCAAAAUUCUGUUUGUAUAAUGAAAAACCAAGAAAACCAUAAAAAAAACAAGUGACAAAAAGAAAAGUUAACAAAAAGAGAAACUGAAAAACAAAAUACAAAAACCGAAUAGAAAACCCAAAAAAAAUUAAGAGGAAAAAAGCGAGAGUGCAGAACAAGGAUUAAAUGGUGUGUGUUGUACAUAUAUUGAUGUGAGUGACUGUGUGUGUCUAAAAGCAAAAGCGAAU